CCCGCUGAACUUAAGCAUAUCAAUAAGCGGAGGAAAAGAAACUAACAAGGAUUCCCCCAGUAACUGCGAGUGAAGAGGGAAGAGCUCAAAUUUAAAAUCUGACAGUCCCUGAUUGUCCGAGUUGUAAAUUAGAGAAGCGUUAUCCGCGCUGACUGUGCAUAAGUUCCUUGGAAAAGGGCAUCAUAGAGGGUGACAAUCCCGUCUUUGGCACAGACUCCCAGGGCUUUUGUGAUGCGCUCUCAAUGAGUCGAGUUGUUUGGGAAUGCAGCUCUAAAUGGGUGGUAAAUUCCAUCUAAAGCUAAAUAUUGGCGAGAAACCGAUAGCGCACAAGUACCGUGAGGGAAAGAUGAAAAGAACUUUGAAAAGAGAGUUAAACAGUACGUGAAAUUGUUGAAAGGGAAACGCUUGAAGUCAGUCGCAUCCUUCAGAAAUCAACCUGACCGUUAGGUCUGGCGCACUUUCUGUUUGGAUGGGUCAGCAUCAAUUUUGAUCAUUGGAUAAAGGCCUCGGGAAUGUGGCAUCUUUGGAUGUGUUAUAGCCCUUGGUUACACAGUGGUUGGGAUUGAGGAACUCGGUGCCUCGGCACUCAGGAUGCUGGCAUAAUGGCUUUAAUCGACCCGUCUUGAAACACGG
RNAcentral lists this ribosomal RNA (633 nucleotides) under uncultured fungus. RNAcentral's name for it is "eukaryotic LSU rRNA". It matches the Rfam family "Eukaryotic large subunit ribosomal RNA", at positions 24 to 664 of the family's 3401-position model. Lineage: Eukaryota; Fungi. The record is from RNAcentral.